This is a long non-coding RNA of Macrobrachium nipponense, 850 nucleotides long. RefSeq lists it as uncharacterized. The record is from RefSeq and is a predicted model, not a curated record. The transcript is spliced from 8 exons. Lineage: Eukaryota; Metazoa; Arthropoda; Malacostraca; Decapoda; Palaemonidae.
CAGAAGUGGUGACAGUUCCAGAUCCCCCUGUACUACCUGGACCCUCUGUAGCAGCCCGUCCACCUGUAUCAGACUCCUUUGAUAAUGACGGCGACCCAGAUGACCCUGAGGCCCUCCAUGGUUUAGAUGUCUCGCCCUAUUCAUCAGAUCUAGAUGUACCCUCUUCAGAGCCCAAAUCAGUUGAUACGACUAGUAUCACCUCUCCAACUCCUUCAGACUCCCAAGCACCUGCACAUCCAACUCCAUAGCCCAGCCACUCUCAUCUACCAUAUGCCCAUCCCAGUUAGCAAGCCAACCACUAGAAUUUGACUGACAUGCACCUUGUGACUUACAUAAACCAGACCUCUACAUAGCCUACAUCUCUUCAUUUUGCUGAAGGCUGCCCAUCAUCCUAGCCUGUUAUCUGUGAUAAAGCACAUUGAAGUUAGGUAUGGAAUGCAUCCUUAUCAUUGCAGGCUUCCUACACAUGAAUGCUACUACACCUCCAUCUCCAUCUCCCACAACCUAGGUAACAGCUUUGAGACUCACUAAAAGUUGAAUCCCAGAACCCCCUGAAUGAUGUAGGCUAUGGGGCCACAUAAAACUUUGUCCAGGGUUACAUAGCACGACAACUUUAAACUAAAAAAACAACAAUAGUGUAUUUAAAUCACUCCAACAUGUAGUACACAUUAGUGUCACCAAAGGAUUACUACAAGAAUCUGCAUGUAUAGUGUCACCAGAGGAUUACAAUAAAGUUUAUACCUUCAAGAACCAUCCUUUUUGCAUUGAAAUAACCCCAGGUUGUGCAUAAAACGUACAUUAAACAACAUGCAUUGUACACAUAAGGAUUACAAGUAAGGUUUUUAUAACU